CUGAUUCGCCCCCCACCGUCCUAACCCUAGUCUUAGCUCCAUUGUACAUGUCCUUGAUUACUCUGAUAUAGGCUUCUGGAACACUCUUCGCCUCCAAGCACCUCCCUCGGGACCUUGUCAUACGCCUUCUCCAAGUCGAAAAGCACCAUAUGAAGGUCCUUCUUCUUAUCCCUGAAUUGUUCCACCAUCCGCUUGACUAGGUGAAUCGCCGCUGUGGUAGAGCGACCCGGCAUGAAACCGAACUGGUUCUCAGAUAUAGUGGUCGCCUCCCUCACCCGCGCCUCAAUCACCCUCUCCCAAACCUUCAUCGUGUGACUUAUCAAU
Molecule: long non-coding RNA, 324 nt
Filed under: Nicotiana benthamiana
Lineage: Eukaryota; Viridiplantae; Streptophyta; Magnoliopsida; Solanales; Solanaceae
Description: long non-coding RNA (NBEN_LNC005795)
Source: RNAcentral